GUCUACCAGUAUUUCAGAAACGCGUUAAAAAACAACAAACAAAUUCCUAAUUGUUUAAAAUAGGCUUGUCACACCUUGUCCUUACAACACAGAGGAAGAGAAUCCCCAGGGGCAGGGGGUGGGGUGGGGGGCUCCCUGCCCAAGUUUACACACAGGCCACAGUCCUUGCCAAGAAGGGGCCCACGGCCAGAGACUGGCUGAAGGCAGGAACAGGCUCCCUGAUCAGGGGACCGGGGCAAGGACCCCCUAGGCUUCUGCACCAGCACUUCCUGCUGUGGACACAGUGGGCUCAUCAGCAGCAAGAAGGCAAGGCCUGGUCCCAAAGACAGAGCCCGCAGGCCAGGGGCUGGGUGAGCCAGAGCAACCUCUAGCCCAUCUGGUC
RNAcentral lists this long non-coding RNA (382 nucleotides) under Bos taurus (domestic cattle). Its description in RNAcentral is "long non-coding RNA NONBTAT015235". Lineage: Eukaryota; Metazoa; Chordata; Mammalia; Artiodactyla; Bovidae. The record is from RNAcentral.